CUCCCAGCCAUCCCCCGAGCCCAGCUCACCGUCCCCGGCCGUGCCCCCACACCUGCCCGGCUGGGGCUGCCUCACUGCCUGCCAGCGAGCUGGGACACAGCUGCGAAAGGAACAACUUUCUGCUAAAAAAAUGCAACUUAGGCAUGUAUCUGCUGGGAAUUCUGACAAACUACAUCGCCCUGAGAAACCUGUGUCUGUAAAAAUGGUGAAACUUGGCUGUGACUUUGGGACAACAUAUAGCUUAAUCAUGCAUCAAAAGAGAAUAGAGUAGAUUUUAAAAAGCAAAACAAAAUAUAUGCUCGUUUCUGUACCAGGACACGAGCUCUGCCCACUCCAGCAGCCCAGCCAAGGGUCCCUGCACUCCCAGGAGGGGAGAGCUUCAGCACAGAGUCCUGAAAUCAAGUGACAUGGAUAUUUUUCUGCUCUGUUGCAUUAGUCAUAAUUACAACAUGCCAUUAUUUUGCUAUCUGCUCCUCUACACUUAAAAUCAGCCUCUGCUUCCACUGGAAAAAAAAAGGAUCCCUAUGUUUUAAAAGCCAUGUCGCAGCACAGGGAGCAUUUAUGUGAGAAAUUAGCUCCAGUAUUAAAUGCCACAUUGGCUAGGAAUAGAAAAUACAAUAUAGAAUGCUUCCCUAGUACUGGAUUGCGAAGCUGAAUUGUUUGCCUGGUUUCCCUCAAUCGCACAAAAAGGCAAAUCUAGGUGUGAUUGUGUUCGUGUAAGUGAUGCCUCCUGUCCGGAUUGGCAGAGCAGAAAUAGCUGAAAUGUUUGGAGAUGCCGGAGGUCAGGCACAGCGAGAGCAGAGGGUGCUCAACAAAACCUCUUAUUUACAGAUGGGCACCCACUUAGGCUCCUGGCUGAGCUUGAGGGGAGAAGUGACAGAAAAAAGAUUGCUAGAUUUCUAACUGUCCUCUCCAUACUUGCAAGACUUGAAUUUGCCAGUUUUCAUCUAUUACUGAAUCAGAAAAAAACCCCAAAGUAGAUUGAAAGUGCUUUCUUAUCUUUUUAAAUAUAUGAAAAAUUUAAUUUAUACUGAGCCUGUUUAACAAUCAGAAAAAAACAGAGGAAAAUGUAAGGACCAGACAGCUGUGUGUACAUGCACUUAAACUUCAGAUGUAUUAUUAAUUCUUCUGCCAAGACAACCCAGUAAAACAAAACAUCUUGCUAAGAAUCAAAUUAAGCAACGCACAAAGAAAUUAAAAUGAACAAAUGUGUAUGUCCACAAAUGAGACAAGACUGCAAAUUGCCACUUCAGCUUCAAACAGCCAGAGCUGAGGGGAGAAGCCGCAGGCAGAACCUGAGAUGCUGCUUUAGUUGUCACUUGGGAUUUCCCAAUGCGUUGUUUCUAAAAUUAUCUCUCAGAUUUCCAGAUGAUAUUGCCAAGGAAUUGGAUAUAGUUGCAGUGUAUUACUUAACUCAUAAAUCCUAAUUAUUAAUUACUGAGGUAAUCAGCUUUUACAAGAUUAUUCUCUUGCACAUACUUAUUCACUGGGCUGCAAUUGCAAGAGUAAUUUCUAUUCCUGAACAGCCACCUCAGUGUUCAUUUCAUGCACAGUGAAAGAGAAAUAAAACCUUACAAUAAAAUUGCCAUCAUAAGAAAAGUAAAAUCAACUCUGUAAUUUAAGAGAAGAAAGAAAUAUAAACAUGGUUAUUAGGCCUUCCUACAAAGCCAGGUCACUGAAGUCACUGAGGCUGUUGUGUAGCAGUGCCCAAACAUGAGAGCCCGGGCAGGGCACUGUGUCCUUCCCUGGGGUCAGAUCCUGCCCAGCACAGAGCCUGGAGUGCUGCAUCCAUCCCUGGGUCAGAUCCUGCCCAGCACAGAGCCUGGAGUGCUGCAUCCAUCCCUGGGUCAGAUCCUGCCCAGCACAGAGCCUGGAGUGCUGCACCCCUGGCAUGGGGAGCAGGAACCUGCAGGGAAGCAGUUUCCACCCAUCUUCACAGCACUCCAGUAAACACAGACAGGACCUUGAGCAGUUAUGAGGGAGAGUUUGAAGUGAACCUCCAGUUUCAGGAGCCAGCCACAAGACGUAAAGCUGGUGUCAGGAACUGGCACCAAACCAGCAGCAUUUGGACACCUGCCUGCAGCCAAGCACUCGGUGAUAUCCAGAAGCCCACGUUGAUCAUAACCAGGUGGAGGUUUGAGGGUGUGCACAGAUAGGUUCAAUGGGGAACAUGGUUAUUGCCUGAAAAUCUGCCAAGGAAAAUGGAGGAUUAUUCAUCUUCUCCCUACAUCCCCAUCAAAAGCACACUUUGCCUCUCUGAGCAAUCAAAGAGCAAAACCAGCAGUGAGACCUGGCUUUAUUUCUGACCCAAAUGCUUCAUGUCUCAAACACAUUGCUUGUGUCCUGUGGGAUGAUCCUGGCCAUGCCCUGUGCAGGUGACCCUGGCUGCUGGUUGGGCCCAGUGCCUGCUGCCUCUGGCCUCCCCAGGGGCAUUCCCAGCACAUCUGUCCCCUCUGGGAACUGCAGUGGCUCCAGGAGAAGUGCCCAGCUGCUGGUUAAUCCCCAAAGGAAUGGACUGCAUGUCCCGUCUGUACUUACUGCCAGCUAGGGAGCAGCAGUAUCAAUAACAUCCUUCUGAAGCUCUCCUGUGUCCCUGGGCUGCUCACAGGCAGCUGAAGAAGAGCCAGCCGUGCCCUGCUCAGAACAAGUCUCUGUCCCAGAAUUAGCAUGCAGGGGGAAUAAGGCUCCCUCUGUCCCACAAAAACCCUUCCCAAGCAGAGCAGUGGCAGGGGUCACCACCAGCAAAGACGAGGUGUCAGUGUGACAGAGCCAGGCGCUGGCUGCUGAGAUCCUUCUGUCACUGCUUUCACUGCUUUUCCAGGGACAUGAGGCAAGGGAGUGGAGCCUCUUUCCAAUGCAAGGAGCAGGAUUUUCCCAAGGAGGACAUGGUUACUCCAGCAACACAAUCCCACAGCUCUGCCAGCACUCAGGAAGGGUCCAGCCUUCCGACCUCCUGCCCCCUCUUUCUUUUCUCUACAGCUGUACAUAGGCUGGGAGAGACUUUACUCUGAACACUGCUCAGCCAGAUUUUAACUGUAAAUCAAUCCAAGAUGGCAGAAGACAUUUAAUUAUUCCUAUUUUCCUCUUAAUUGUGUUUUGCUGUUGCUAAAAUAGCAAUAAUAGAAAGCUUUGCAGCAUUAACUAAAAGCUUUAGGGGAAAACCACAUCUCAUUGUGCUGCAGGAAUAAAGGACCUGGUAAUGCCCAUGGAGCAUCAAAGUUGAAACAAGAUGCUGUUUUACUGGGAUGAAAAGAAAAAGAGUAAGCAAGAAUGUGUACCCAAGAAAAACAACUGAGGACUGAGGUGGUUUUCCAGCAGUUUCCUGAUCGAGUCUCUUCCUUUAUUGCCUCAGAGGUGGGUGCAGAGAUUGUCUCCUCAGUGAGAGAAGGAGGGUACCUGGCAGCCCCAUCAUUUAUAGAGUUGAUUGGGAAUUUUCCAACAGGAACUAUUUGAGAUUGUAAUACGUUAACCGUA
Cyanistes caeruleus (blue tit) is the source of this 3474-nucleotide non-coding RNA. The record is from RefSeq and is a predicted model, not a curated record. Lineage: Eukaryota; Metazoa; Chordata; Aves; Passeriformes; Paridae.